RNAcentral lists this ribosomal RNA (455 nucleotides) under Enterococcus faecalis. RNAcentral's name for it is "bacterial SSU rRNA". It matches the Rfam family "Bacterial small subunit ribosomal RNA", at positions 28 to 461 of the family's 1533-position model. The record is from RNAcentral. Lineage: Bacteria; Bacillati; Bacillota; Bacilli; Lactobacillales; Enterococcaceae.
GACGAACGCUGGCGGCGUGCCUAAUACAUGCAAGUCGAACGCUUCUUUCCUCCCGAGUGCUUGCACUCAAUUGGAAAGAGGAGUGGCGGACGGGUGAGUAACACGUGGGUAACCUACCCAUCAGAGGGGGAUAACACUUGGAAACAGGUGCUAAUACCGCAUAACAGUUUAUGCCGCAUGGCAUAAGAGUGAAAGGCGCUUUCGGGUGUCGCUGACGGAUGGACCCGCGGUGCAUUAGCUAGUUGGUGAGGUAACGGCUCACCAAGGCCACGAUGCAUAGCCGACCUGAGAGGGUGAUCGGCCACACUGGGACUGAGACACGGCCCAGACUCCUACGGGAGGCAGCAGUAGGGAAUCUUCGGCAAUGGACGAAAGUCUGACCGAGCAACGCCGCGUGAGUGAAGAAGGUUUUCGGAUCGUAAAACUCUGUUGUUAGAGAAGAACAAGGACGUUAG